Molecule: RNA transcript, 2308 nt
Organism: Cicer arietinum (chickpea)
Lineage: Eukaryota; Viridiplantae; Streptophyta; Magnoliopsida; Fabales; Fabaceae
Gene name: sterol 3-beta-glucosyltransferase UGT80A2-like
Source: RefSeq, a predicted model, not a curated record
AUGCGAAAGGAAGAAAGUGAAAGAAAAAUAUCAAAAGAAAAACAGAAACUAUUAUGCCUUACCCUUCCCCAUCGCCAUCAUCACACUUUUCCAUUCCUUUUCAUCAUCAUCAAAUCAAAUCCAUUUCCCUUCUACAAUCGUUCCUUCCUCUUUCUCCGAAUUCUCCGAAAUGGAGAAUAAUAAUAAUAAUAAUCACCACCGUUCAAAAUCUUCCUCUAGUGACAAUUCAGUUUAUUUGGACGCACACGCUGCUUCCAUUCAUUCAACUACUUCUUCAGGACAUAUUGACAGGGAUUCAUCAAGUGCAUCACAGAAUGUGGAAGCAACUGAUGGAGCUGUAGGUGUUGUGGCUGAAGCUGAAACGUCAAAUCGGGGUCAAUGUAAGAAAGCUGCUAAAGCUGCUAAAAACCAUGGAUUACUGGCUAGGUUCUUUGAUGAGACUGUUCCCCACAAGAAAAGGCUGAGAUAUCUAAAAAAAGCUUCCAUGGUUAAUGAUGAUGGUACUGUAGAAAUUGAAGUUCCAGGACAUAUUAAACACCGGUCUCUAGGAAAUGGAACCGGUAUUAUUGAUCGUAGUGGUGAAUCUUGCAAAGAAACACUCAUUCAGGAUAUUGAACCUAUUCCACCGCGGCAAAUUGCAAUGCUUAUAGUUGGCACACGUGGAGAUGUCCAGCCAUUUAUUGCCAUUGGGAAGCGUCUGCAGGAAGAUGGACACAGGGUUAGGCUUGCUACUCAUAAAAACUUUGAAGAUUUUGUCUUGGAUGCAGGCUUGGAGUUUUACCCUUUAGGCGGAGAUCCGAAAGUUCUUGCUGGGUAUAUGGUCAAGAAUAAAGGCUUGUUGCCAUCAGGACCUUCAGAAAUACAUAUUCAAAGAAAUCAAAUCAGAGCUAUCAUUCACUCUUUGCUUCCUGCAUGCAAUAGCCGGUACCCAGACUCUAAUAAACCGUUUAGAGCUGAAGCAAUAAUUGCAAAUCCUCCAGCAUAUGGGCAUACUCAUGUUGCUGAAUAUCUAAAUGUUCCGCUGCACAUAUUCUUCACGAUGCCGUGGACGCCUACUAGUGAGUUCCAUCAUCCUCUUUCCCGUGUUAGGCAGCCAAUUGGAUACAAACUGUCAUAUCAAAUAGUUGAUGCUUUAAUCUGGCUUGGAAUACAUGAUUUGGUAAACGAGUUUAGGAAGAAGAAGCUGAAGCUAGGAGCUAUGACUCAUCAUCUACGUGGAUCUUACACUUCCCCUCCUGAAAUGCCCUAUGGUUAUAUUUGGAGCCCCAACUUGGUCCCUAAACCAAAAGAUUGGGGACCUAACAUUGACAUUGUUGGAUUUUGUUUCCUUGACCUUGCUUCAAAUUAUGAACCGCCAAAACCACUAGUUGAUUGGCUUGAAGAAGGAAAAAACCCUAUCUAUGUUGGAUUUGGUAGCCUUCCUCUACAGGAACCUGAAAAAAUGACAAGAAUUAUAGUUCAAGCUCUUCAACAAACAGGGCAGAGAGGUAUAAUCAACAAAGGGUGGGGUGGUCUUGGGAAUUUGGCAGAACUAAAGAAUUCUAAAUCUGUGUACUUAUUGAACAACUGUCCGCAUGAUUGGCUAUUUCCACGAUGCACGGCUGUGGUACAUCAUGGGGGCGCAGGAACAACUGCUGCUGGUCUUAGAGCUGAAGUAAUUAGUGCAAUUGCCCUACCACUAUUGUACCAUUCUUCGGGGACCAGCCAUUUUGGGGAGAGCGGGUGCAUGCCAGGGGAGUAGGUCCUGCACCCAUCCCGGUAGAGGAUUUUACGUUGGAAAGGCUGGUUGAUGCCAUACGCUUUAUGCUGAAUCCAGAGGUGAAAAGGCGUGCUGUUGAACUUGCUAAUGCCAUGAAAAACGAAGAUGGGGUGGUAGGAGCGGUUAACGCCUUCUAUAAACAUUAUCCGCGCCAAAGACCUGAUACUGAGACCGAACCCAAGCAAGUAGCCUUAGUAAAUAGACAUUUCUCUAUACGAGGAUGCUUUGGUUGCUAUAAUUCUUCUGGAUAAAUAGCUGCUUCUCCAUACAACACACUCCUCUCUAUGUAAUCAUAUUUAUUCUUCAGUUUAAUUCCUAAGAAAAAUGUUUGUUCUUCAGCCUAGUUCUGCUAUAUCAGAGACUGAAAUGUAAAUUGUCCUGGUGAUUUUGUUGAAAUAGUUCAGAACGAUCCUGUAUUAUCCAACUUACUGUCAAUAGUCAUAGUGUUUACUUCUUCUGGCUGACGAUUGUAGGAUAUAUACCCCUACAAGGCUACAACUGAUGAUAAGAAUCUUUUAUGGUAAGAAAGUUGCAUGCUUCAUGGGUUAA